Molecule: long non-coding RNA, 530 nt
Filed under: Vitis vinifera (wine grape)
Lineage: Eukaryota; Viridiplantae; Streptophyta; Magnoliopsida; Vitales; Vitaceae
Description: long non-coding RNA (VVIN_LNC002118)
Source: RNAcentral
UGCAUUUGAACCAUAGCCUGAAGCACCAUAUCCAGAAGGAGUUUGGUUGUUCCAUUGGCUUUUCAUAGCACCAGGUGGGCCACUUACAUAACCAGCAUUAGGAGCAUUCGGGUUUCCAUACGCCCCAGCAGGACCGCCAAAUCCAGUAUUGGCACUUCCAUAACCACCAACACCAUAACUCCCAUAACCACCAUAACCAACAGCACUAUUUGCUGCUCCAUAGCCAUAACCUGGUGCACCAUAGCCAGAAUAUGGUGGGAAACCACCACCAGUGGUCUGAGGUGGCAUGAAUCUAUUACCAUCCAUUCUACCUUCAUAUGCACUUGUAUUAGCACCAGAAGCACCAUAGCCUUGGUAGCCUCCACUACGGCCACCACCACCAGGAUUUGCAUCUUUAGGGAGGGCUCGUUUCACCUCUACAAGCUUACCAUUCAAAUCAUGGAAGGUCUUAUGUAAAACUCGAUCAACUGCAUCUUCAGUGUCAAAGGAUAUGAAUCCAAACCCACGGGGACGUUGAGUAUUUUGGUCAU